Molecule: ribosomal RNA, 198 nt
Filed under: Triticum aestivum (bread wheat)
Lineage: Eukaryota; Viridiplantae; Streptophyta; Magnoliopsida; Poales; Poaceae
Description: partial small subunit ribosomal RNA
Source: RNAcentral
AUGCAAAGGAACUCCAGGAAGGCCAACAACUCUCUGCAGAUGCUCAUAUGCUGGGAAAUUUGGAACGAAAAGAACGCUAGGGUCUUCCGCUCCAAAGCAUCACUUCCUUAUAGGGUGGUCGCGACGAGUAAGGAUGAGGCAAAGACUUGGGUUAUUGUCAGGGCUAGAUUGUUGGGAAACUUAAUUCCGGAAGAGUGA